UGAAACUUCAGUACUGUGCCAUCUGGUUC
This 29-nucleotide non-coding RNA is filed under the name Bombyx mori (domestic silkworm). Lineage: Eukaryota; Metazoa; Arthropoda; Insecta; Lepidoptera; Bombycidae. The record is from RNAcentral.